RNAcentral lists this transfer RNA (73 nucleotides) under Bos taurus (domestic cattle). It matches the Rfam family "tRNA". Rfam says of the family: Transfer RNA (tRNA) molecules are approximately 80 nucleotides in length. RNAcentral also lists the same sequence under 3 other names. Lineage: Eukaryota; Metazoa; Chordata; Mammalia; Artiodactyla; Bovidae. The record is from Rfam by way of RNAcentral.
UCCCUGGUAGUCCAGUGCUUAAGACCCUGCACUCCCAAUGCAGAUGGCACAGGUUCAAUUCCUGGUUGGGAAA